This 2420-nucleotide long non-coding RNA is filed under the name Mus musculus (house mouse). RNAcentral describes it as "predicted gene, 48604". The record is from RNAcentral. Lineage: Eukaryota; Metazoa; Chordata; Mammalia; Rodentia; Muridae.
GCUUGAUUAAAUUAUUUUAUGUCAGACUUGAGUGUGGUGGUGCCUUUAAUCCCAGUAGAGCUCUGACUGGUCUACACAGUAAAUUCCAGGACAGUCAGGGCUACACAGAGAUACCCAGUCUCAAACAACUAACAUUAUUUUAUAUUCUAUGUUAGUCUCUUUCGCUAUAACAAAAACAAAGAAACCUAUGAGGUAUACAAGGCAAAAAGAAUUUAUUUUGGCUUUUUUUUUUUUAAAGAGGUUUCAGGCCAUGCCUAUAGUUGUUUCUGGGCCUACAAUGAGAAAUCGUGGGGGGAGAAUGUGGGGGACGGGAACUGCUCAGCUGUGGUGGCUAGGGAAUAGGAGGACAGGGACAAGAUACUCUUUAAAAGCAAGACUCUCGCCAGGGCAGUGGUGGUGCAUACCUUUAAUCCCAGCACUCGGGAGGUAGAGGCAGGUGGAUUUCUGAGUUCGAGGCCAACCUGGUCUACAGAGUGAGUUCCAGGACAGCCAAGGGUACACAGAGAAAUCCUGUCUCAAAAAAACAAAAGCAAGAAAGACUCUCUGAAGAUCAUCAUGCCAGAGUUCAGAACGGUUACCACUUACUUGCCUGUGUUUGGGAGCCAAGAAAGAGAGGAUGAACUUUGCUGCUGUACUGUAGAAGCGAGGAAGCUCUCUCCUUUUUGAGCACCCCCUUUCCAUCCCGAGCAGCACCUCCCAAAUGUCCAGCAGAGACUCUUCUUCUUGACAGACUUACAGGUUUAGAGUUGAGCCAGUUGGUGGGCAAGAGAGAUCACACUGGACAAAGACUCGGGGUGCUGGGAACAACUGGACCAGUUCCCAAAUCUCCAGUCUAAAUCCUUUUUGGAUCCCACAGGACCCCACCACACUCCUUUCCCCCCCAUAAAGCUUAUCAACUACUCACACAAAUCCUUGUCCAGAGCAGCCUGUUGCUUAGAUUAUCGCCUAGCACUAAGCUGAGAUGAGAAUUAUCAACCGUUGCAUGUCUGGCCAUAGGAAAUCUUCCGUGGAAAUAAACUGCUUGGAUGGAGGUAGUGGGAAGGGCUAGGUAGGAAUGGGAGGAUUCUCUCGGGGAACAAAAAAGAUAAAUCUUAGGGAAUAGGCAGAUAUGUAUUUGGAGAAGCGGGGGAGAUCUGGACAUUAAGAAAAGUCUGUCACAAGAUGACUUAGAAGAUGAGGUCUAUACUAAGCAAAGACCCACUCUAGAUACUAAGUCAGAAACCUUAGGAGUGGAACCCAGCACAUAAGUCUUUAGCCUUUCAGAGGAUUUGGGGUGAACACUAAAGUGUGACAACCACUGUUGGUAAGGUACAAGGUCUAUCUAGGAUAAGUGUGGCUUCUCCUUUGCCAAGAAGUGGGGUAUCGUUCUGGAGAAAGAAAAUGAUCCUGAAUCAUGGGCAGCAUUUCCCCCUCCCCGUGCUGGCACCCCUACCCCCAGGGCUGCAUGGUCUCUGAGAAUCACAAGGCUACCCUUGACCUCAAGGUCCUCCUCAUUCAGUGCCAGGACUAUGACAUGUGCCUCCAUGCCCGACCAGUUAUGCUGUGCGUUUGCCAUCUCCAUGUUCCUGAUGAGGCGAAGAGAUGAGGAACCUGCUCAAGAGAAGACUCCGUGGGGUUGAGGUGGUGGGGGUGGGGAGAGGUCAGCAGGCACAGUGUGCAAUAGUAAAAGCUUUCGUGUGCGGUGCUGAGGGUUGAACCACUGAGUUGUACCCUCAGCCCUGGGAAAACCAUUUCUGAUGUGUUAUAACGGUGGGCUAACUGUGGGUGCCAGUGAUUGGAUACUUCAAAAAAGCUAGUAGGUUGGAUAUAUCCAACAGAAAGAAGUGAUAAAUAUGUGAGAAGAUAAUAUAUACUAUUACUCAAGUGUGAGGGUUUCAAUAAGAAUUAUGCCCCCCUCAUAUAUUUGAAUGCUUAGUCACCAGGAAGUGGCACUGUUUAAGAAGGAUUAGGAGGUGUGGCCUUGUUGAAAGAGGAAUGUCACUGGGGAUGGUCUUGGAGGUUUCAAAAAGCUCAUAGGAGACCCAGAGUGAUGUGAUGGUGGAGAUCUCUCUCUCUCUUGCUCUCUCGCUCUCUCGCUCUCUCGCUCUCUCUCUCUGGUUGUGGAUCAGGAUGUAUCUCUCAGCACUUCUCCAGCACCACACCUGCCUGCUUCCUUCCCCCCUCCCAACACCCGUGCCCUCUGCUGUGAUGAUAAUGGACUAAGCCUCUGAAACUGUAAGGAAGUCCCUAAUUAAAUGCUUUCUUUUAUAAGAGUUGCCUUGGUCAUGGUGUCUGUUCACAGCAAUGGAAGAGUGACUAAGACAUCUGGUAAGAUGAGUACACAUCGGAAUACUGGGCUGUUGAGCUGUGCAAGCCUGGUAGCCUGCAUAUCUGAUCUGAUCCUUGAAACUCAAAACGGAGAAAUAAAAUUUAAAUAUGCC